RNAcentral lists this long non-coding RNA (1977 nucleotides) under Vitis vinifera (wine grape). RNAcentral's name for it is "long non-coding RNA (VVIN_LNC003879)". Lineage: Eukaryota; Viridiplantae; Streptophyta; Magnoliopsida; Vitales; Vitaceae. The record is from RNAcentral.
UUUCCCUAGAAAAUGGCUGUGGGAAGAGGCAGUGCAGUUGUGGCCAUAGUUCUGGUGCUGUGCCUUGUGCUUCCAUGUGACAUGGUUGAUGCAGCCACCUUCACUGUUGGUGGUGCCAGCGGCUGGGCCUUCAAUGCUGUUGGCUGGCCUAAGGGAAAGCGUUUCAAGGCUGGUGAUGUGCUUGGUAAGUCUUUUACUCUUAAACCUAAUCUUUUUAGGUGAAAUUUUAAUAAUUUACGAAAAAUUACAGGAUAGGAAAUUAUACCUAUGUGUUUAUUAUGCAGUGUUCAACUAUAGCCCUUCGGCUCACAAUGUGGUGGCGGUGAACAAGGCCGGGUACAAUGGGUGCACCACCCCUCGAGGUUCCAAGGUGUAUCAGACAGGGAAAGAUCAGAUCAAGCUGGUGAAGGGGGCCAACUAUUUCCUCUGCAAUUUUCCUGGGCAUUGCCAAUCUGGAAUGAAGAUAGCAGUAACUGCUACUUAAUAUAUACAUAUAUAUGAAGCAAAUAAUAUGGAGUUGCAUCUCCUUCUACAUAUAUAUUGAUUCUAUCAUCAUAAUACAAGAGGCCUUGUGCUAGUUUUUAAUAUUUGUACGUGCGGUUCAACCUUAGCUAGCUAGCUCAAGUGAGAAGUGACUUUUCAGUAUCUUUAAUAUCAUAAAUAAAGUUGCAGUUGGUUGACAAUAUAUGGGUUGUUGCAUUAACUUUUUGUUUUGAGGAUGCCCUCUCUUUUUCUUUUGCUUUUUCCCUUUUUCCUUUUUAAUGUCAAAAAUUUUGAAAGAGAGAAAAUGAAAAAUAAAAAAUAAAAAAUCAUUGAGAGUGAAGUUAUAUUCUUGAGAUAUAAAAUGGGCUUGAAAGAUUACCAAAAAGGAAAAAAAUUAAGUAGUUAACUCAAUGAUCAGACUUUCACAUGGUUGAAGGGGUGCUUAGUUGAUCCCAUGUUUCAAAUAAAGAUGAUUUUCUUUCCCCACCUUUUAGGGGUAGCUGCUCCUGGGCCUUAGUUGACUCAGUCAUAGGGACAAAAGAAAAUUAAGUGUAAUUGUGAAUUGUGUGACCUUAUAAGUGGGUAGGUAAUACAUCAAAUCAAAGAGAAAUGAUUCCAUAGGGAAAGUAGUUUUUCCUAUGGUAAAUCUCUGCAUGUAAACUUCUCAAUCUGUCAAACAAAAAACAUGAAAUUUAUAAUAUAUUUUAAAAAUUGUUUUGGUAUUAAAUCAACAAUUUAAAAAAGAAUAUAUUAAAAUAGGCCAAAACAAUCCAUUUUGAAAUAUUUAUUUAUGAUAUAGUAAUAAAAAUUCUUUUAAUUUUUGGAUUAUGUGUUGUUAUUGACUACCAUUAUGGCUUUUAUACAAGUUAAAAAGAAUCAAAAGAAUUGGUGAAUUUAUAUAACAAUAUUCAUUUUGUGGUCCAAAUUUUAUUUCAACAACCCAUGAUUAUAAUCAUGACUUGAGAAAGUAUAAAUGCAUCUGCCAAAACUCUUUUUUUGUAUUCACUCUUUUAGUGAAAAUUUUAAGAUACAAAUAUCUUUUACUGAAAUCCCCAAAGUACUGUUCAACACAAAAAUACAGAUAUUUUUCCUCUUCUUCCUUCAUUCUUCUUUGGUCGGUAAUUUCUUUAACCCUAAUAAAAUUUAGUGAAAAAAGUUGUGUUUCUCACAAAUAGAAAAACAAAUAAUUAUAUACAAUAAUGUUACAAGUGAAAAUAUAUGGUUUUUAUACAUUUAUUUUUUUCAUUUCUUCUCACAUUUUUGGGGUUGGAGGAAAAGGUCUUUAUUGUUAUCAUUUUUCAUGUAUGUCCUCACUCGAUGACAAAACUUGUUUUUUAUUUAUAAAAAAUUGAUUUUUAAAUAUACAACAAAACAAUGGUAAUGAGGAGCAAAAAAUAAAAGAACAUUCAUAGUAGAGCAUGCAUAUCAAAGGAAUCAAACAAGGAAGGAAGGAAGAGAAUGUACCUCAAUAAUGCCUAAAACAGGGCAAGGCUC